UGAAUACGAGACGCUAAGGCGUCGAAGUAGUGUAUGUCAUACUUCCAAGAAAAGCUUGCACUGUCAUAGAUAAAAAACGCCUGUACCAUAACCGACACAGGUGGGUAGGUAGAGUAUACUAAGGGGCGCGAGAUAACUCUCUCUAAGGAACUCGGCAAAAUAACUCCGUAACUUCGGGAGAAGGAGUGCCUUAUUCGUAAGGUUGCAAUAACAAGAUCCAAGCAACUGUUUAUCAAAAACACAGGUCUCCGCUAAGUCGUAAGACGAUGUAUGGGGGCUGACGCCUGCCCAGUGCCAGAAGGUUAAAGAAGUUGGUUAGCAAUUGCGAAGCUGAUAACUGAAGCCCUGGUGAACGGCGGCCGUAACAAUAACGGUCCUAAGGUAGCGAAAUUCCUUGUCGGGUAAGUUCCGACCCGCACGAAAGGCGUAAUGAUUUGGAUACUGUCUCGGAGAGGGGCUCGGUGAAAUAGACUUGUCUGUGAAGAUGCGGACUACCUGCACCAGGACAGAAAGACCCUAUGAAGCUUUACUGUAACUUGAAAUUGAAAUUGGACUUUAUUCGCGCAGUAUAGGUGGGAGGCGUUGAUUAUAAUCUUGUGGGAUUAUUGGAGCCAUCAGUGAGAUACCACUCUUGUAAUGUUAGAUUUCUAACUUUGAAUCAUUAUCUGGUCAAAGAACAGUUUCAGGCGGGCAGUUUGACUGGGGCGGUCGCCUCCUAAACGGUAACGGAGGCGUACAAAGGUUUCCUCUGAACGGUUAGAAAUCGUAUCUAGAGUGUAAAGGCAUAAGGAAGCUUGACUGUGAGACCUACAAGUCGAGCAGGGACGAAAGUCGGUCUUAGUGAUCUGACGGUACUGAGUGGAAAGGCCGUCACUCAACGGAUAAAAGUUACUCUAAGGAUAACAGGCUGAUCUCCCCCAAGAGUUCACAUCGACGGGGAGGUUUGGCACCUCGAUGUCGGCUCAUCGCAUCCUGGGGCGGUAGUACGUCCCAAGGGCUGGGCUGUUCGCCCAUGAAAGCGGUACGCGAGCUGGGUUCAGAACGUCGUGAGACAGUUCGGUCCAUAUCCGGUGUAGGCGUUAGAAUAUUGAGAGGAGCCUUCUUUAGUACGAGAGGACCGAGAAGGACAUACCUCUGGUGUACCAGUUAUCGUGCCAACGGUAAACGCUGGGUAGCUAUGUAUGGAGUGGAUAACCGCUGAAAGCAUCUAAGUGGGAAGCCCACCUCAAGAUAAGUAUUCUCAUCACGUAAGUGAGUAAGGUCACGGUAAGACUAACCGUUUGAUAGGCAUUAAGUGUAAGUACAGUAAUGUAUGUGCUGAGGUAUCCUAAUAGACCGAGGACUU
Molecule: ribosomal RNA, 1345 nt
Filed under: metagenome
Description: bacterial LSU rRNA
Rfam family: Bacterial large subunit ribosomal RNA
Source: RNAcentral